Molecule: ribosomal RNA, 2905 nt
Filed under: Clostridium perfringens
Lineage: Bacteria; Bacillati; Bacillota; Clostridia; Eubacteriales; Clostridiaceae
Description: 23S ribosomal RNA
Rfam family: Bacterial large subunit ribosomal RNA
Source: RNAcentral
GGUCAAGCUACAAAGGGCGCAUGGUGAAUGCCUUGGCAUCAGGAGCCGAUGAAGGACGUGAUAAGCUGCGAUAAGCUUCGGGUAGGCGCACAUAGCCUGAGAUCCGAAGAUCUCCGAAUGAGGAAACUCACAUGGGAAACCCCAUGUAUCAUUAAGUGAAUACAUAGCUUAAUGAAGGUAACCCAGGGAACUGAAACAUCUAAGUACCUGGAGGAAGAGAAAGAAAAAUCGAUUUUCUUAGUAGCGGCGAGCGAAAGGGAAAGAGCCCAAACCGGAAACUUGUUUCCGGGGUUGUGGACAUAGCAUAAAAGUGGAGGCUAUUGUAACUGAAGAGAACUGGAAAGUUCCACCGUAGAAGGUAAUAGUCCUGUAAGUGAAACGAGAAGACCACGAGUUAUGAUCCAGAGUACCACGAGACACGUGAAACCUUGUGGGAAGCAGGGAGGACCACCUCCCAAGGCUAAAUACUACCUGAUGACCGAUAGUGAAGCAGUACCGUGAGGGAAAGGUGAAAAGAACCCCGGGAGGGGAGUGAAAUAGAACCUGAAACCGUGUGCCUACAACCGCUCAGAGCCCCUUAUGAGGGUGAUGAGGUGCUUUUUGUAGAACGAGCCAACGAGUUACGGUAUGUAGCAAGGUUAAGUACUUAAGGUACGGAGCCGAAGGGAAACCGAGUCUGAAUAGGGCGACUAGUUGCAUGCCGUAGACCCGAAACCGGGUGACCUAUCCAUGGCCAGGUUGAAGCGAGGGUAAAACCUCGUGGAGGACCGAACCACGUUGCUGUUGAAAAAGCAUGGGAUGAGCUGUGGAUAGCGGAGAAAUUCCAAUCGAACCCGGAGAUAGCUGGUUCUCUCCGAAAUAGCUUUAGGGCUAGCGUCGAGUAUGAGUAGUGGAGGUAGAGCACUGAAUGGGCUAGGGGGCAUAGCGCUUACCGAACCUUAUCAAACUCCGAAUGCCACAUACUUUGAGCUCGGCAGUCAGACUACGAAUGAUAAGAUCCGUGGUCAAAAGGGAAACAGCCCAGAUCGUCAGCUAAGGUCCCAAAGUGUAAGUUAAGUGGGAAAGGAUGUGAGAUUUCUAAGACAACUAGGAUGUUGGCUUAGAAGCAGCCAUUCAUUAAAAGAGUGCGUAAUAGCUCACUAGUCGAGAGAUCUUGCGCCGAAAAUGUAACGGGGCUAAACUUACCACCGAAGCUACGGGCUUGAACUUAGUUCAAGCGGUAGGAGAGCGUCGUAACCGGGCUGAAGUCGUACCGUAAGGAGCGGUGGACUGGUUACGAGUGAGAAUGUUGGCAUCAGUAGCGAGAUGUGGGUGAGAAUCCCACAGGCCGAAAACCUAAGGUUUCCUCAGGAAGGUUCGUCCGCUGAGGGUUAGUCGGGACCUAAGCCGAGGCCGAAAGGCGUAGGUGAUGGACAACUGGUUGAUAUUCCAGUACCACUACCAUCGUUAUUAUCGAUGGCGUGACGCAGGAGGAUAGUGUGUGCUAGCUAUUGGAUGCUAGUCUAAGCGUUUAGGCAGUGAGAGUAGGCAAAUCCGCUCUCAUAAUGCUGAGGCGUGAUGGGGAAGGUUCCACGGAACCGAAGUACAUGAUUCCACGCUGCCAAGAAAAGCGUCUAGAGAGAGAAGUAGUGCCCGUACCGCAAACCGACACAGGUAGGUGAGGAGAGAAUCCUAAGGCCGGCGGAAGAAUUACAGUUAAGGAACUCGGCAAAUUGACCCCGUAAGUUCGCGAGAAGGGGUGCCUACGAGAGUAGGCCGCAGAGAAUAGGCCCAAGCAACUGUUUAGCAAAAACACAGGUCUCUGCUAAAGCGUAAGCUGAUGUAUAGGGGCUGACGCCUGCCCGGUGCUGGAAGGUUAAGGGGAACACUUAGCGCAAGCGAAGGUGUGAACUUAAGCCCCAGUAAACGGCGGCCGUAACUAUAACGGUCCUAAGGUAGCGAAAUUCCUUGUCAGGUAAGUUCUGACCCGCACGAAUGGCGUAAUGACUUGGGCACUGUCUCAACUGUAAAUCCGGCGAAGUUGUAGUGCGAGUGAAGAUGCUCGCUACCCGCGAUUGGACGGAAAGACCCCGUAGAGCUUUACUGUAGCUUAGCAUUGAGUUUUGGUAUUGUCUGUACAGGAUAGGUGGGAGACUAGGAAACCAGGGCGUCAGCCUUGGUGGAGUCAACCUUGGGAUACCACCCUGACAGUACUGAAAUUCUAACUGGCGGCCAUGAAUCUGGUCACAGGACAUUGUUAGGUGGGCAGUUUGACUGGGGCGGUCGCCUCCUAAAAAGUAACGGAGGCGCCCAAAGGUUCCCUCAGAACGGUCGGAAAUCGUUCGAAGAGUGCAAAGGCAGAAGGGAGCCUGACUGCGACACCCACAAGUGGAGCAGGGACGAAAGUCGGGCUUAGUGAUCCGGUGGUACCUCGUGGGAGGGCCAUCGCUCAACGGAUAAAAGCUACCUCGGGGAUAACAGGCUGAUCUCCCCCAAGAGUCCACAUCGACGGGGAGGUUUGGCACCUCGAUGUCGGCUCGUCGCAUCCUGGGGCUGAAGUAGGUCCCAAGGGUUGGGCUGUUCGCCCAUUAAAGCGGCACGCGAGCUGGGUUCAGAACGUCGUGAGACAGUUCGGUCCCUAUCCGUCGCGGGCGUAGGAAAUUUGAGAGGAGCUGUCCUUAGUACGAGAGGACCGGGAUGGACUGACCUCUGGUGUACCAGUUGUUCCGCCAGGAGCACAGCUGGGUAGCUAAGUCGGGAAUGGAUAAACGCUGAAAGCAUCUAAGCGUGAAGCCAACCUCAAGAUGAGAUUUCCCAUAGCAUAAGCUAGUAAGAUCCCUUGAAGAACACAAGGUUGAUAGGUCGGGGGUGUAAGCAUGGUAACAUGUUCAGCUGACCGAUACUAAUAGAUCGAGGGCUUGACCAA